RNAcentral lists this ribosomal RNA (322 nucleotides) under uncultured eukaryote. Its description in RNAcentral is "partial 18S ribosomal RNA". It matches the Rfam family "Eukaryotic small subunit ribosomal RNA", at positions 1470 to 1796 of the family's 1831-position model. The record is from RNAcentral.
CCCUUAGAUGUUCUGGGCCGCACGCGUGCUACACUGAGUAAUUCAAUGGGUAAGGGAACGCUAGAGCAUUACCUAAUCUUGAAAUUUGCUCGUGAUGGGGAUCGACGGUUGCAAUUUUCCGUCGUGAACGAGGAAUACCUUGUAGGCGCAUGUCAUCAUCAUGCGCCGAAUACGUCCCUGCCCUUUGUACACACCGCCCGUCGCUCCUACCGAUUGAGUGAUCCGGUGAGGUUCUGGGACCUGGACGGAAAGAGCGUUUCGCUUGUUCUGUUUGGGAAACUUGGUCGAACCUUAUCAUUUAGAGGAAGGAGAAGUCGUAACA